This is a long non-coding RNA of Patiria miniata (bat star), 746 nucleotides long. RefSeq lists it as uncharacterized. The transcript is spliced from 4 exons. NCBI's taxonomy places the organism in Eukaryota, Metazoa, Echinodermata, Asteroidea, Valvatida, Asterinidae. The record is from RefSeq and is a predicted model, not a curated record.
CAAUGUUAUUCACUUUGGGCAUGUAGAUGUCAAUGCAUAUCGUCUGGCGUUGCGGAACUCCAUAAAUUGUUAUUAUUUUUUUCGCUUUGAAUGAUUGGAUAGCGUUUGUUUAUCGUCUGCUCUGCCAUACUGUAUCGUAGCAUUUGCGAAUUUGGCGGGAAAUAUUUCUAGGCCCAUUUGGAUCUUCCAUUAGACAGCUUCUUUUUUGUCUUCUGAAAGCGGUGUCGACAAGAAAUCUUGAAAAAAAUGAGUUGUUUCUUGAAUGGAAGAGUCGCUAUCGUCACAGGAGCCAGUUCUGGAAUAGGUGCGGGCAUCGCGCGCCAUCUUGCCAUCCUAGGCUGUUCGCUGGUACUCGUGGGUCGCAACGAAGAAAACCUCCGACUCGUGCAGGCGGAAUGUGUGGACAGGGGCCUGGAUGAAGACAAGAUUUUAGUGGUAAAAGCAGAUCUGGGGGAUGAAAAGGAUGUGAAGUAAUUGUUAAAAAAGAGCAUCGAGAAAUUCCAGAAAGUCAACAUUUUGGUAAACAGUGCUGGCGUCUUGGCAUAUGGCAGUCUAGAAGAGAUGACGGUGGACCAGUUGCAGUUGGAUUCGCUGGUGGCCGAGGUUUCCGGCUCCAAAUGAUCUGGCAAAUUAUCAAAAGAACUGUAACCGAUCAACCAUUCCAGAUGUCCGACAAAAAGAAAAAGAAACCUUACAUUCGAUAACUGGACCACCAUGGGCGUCGCCAGGAUUUUUCUAGAGGGGGG